Molecule: long non-coding RNA, 1942 nt
Filed under: Piliocolobus tephrosceles (Ugandan red Colobus)
Lineage: Eukaryota; Metazoa; Chordata; Mammalia; Primates; Cercopithecidae
Description: lncRNA (ENSPTEG00000014665.1)
Source: RNAcentral
ACUUCGACCUGAGCCCGAAAUCAUUGAAAAUAUUUUAGAAGGGUUAGAAAAUAAAUUGAGACAUUAUUUUAACUUAUAUCAAGUUGAAAAAGAAAAAAGAAGCAGUUCAGAAAAAAAUAAUUUUUAUUUAAAAAAAGAAAUACACAAUGCUUAUUCAUCAUUAGAUAAAAAUAAAUUAUAUACUGAAAAAUUAGAACAAAAACUUAAUAAUAUAAAAGAAAAUCAAAAUUCAUUAAUUGAUACAGUACGACGUAUAGACUUAUUAUAUAUACAACUAGAUACAUUAGUUCAGUCGUUUGCUGGUAUAUGUACUCAAGUAUUAGCUAGUAGUUCUAAUAGUCCUGCAAAAAUGUAUAAAAAAAGGAAUGUAAUAAAAAUGUUAUUAGAUUAUAUAUACCCUUGUAGGACAUUAGAUACACGUCUCAAUUCUUUAUAUGGUAUGUUAUAUUAUCAAUAUAUUGGUUUAAUGUCAGAUAAUGAUCAAAAUUUAAAAAAGUCAAUCCCGAUUAUACCACCUGUAAUGUCAAGUAAUCGAAGUGAUUGGUUACCUCCUCCACAUAGUAACGAGAGUUACCAUUACAAAAAUAGUAACAAUACAAAUAAUUAUUUAUAUAGUAAUAGUACAAAUAAUAAUGAAAAAAAUUAUAUGAAUGAUAAUAAUAGUAAUAAUAAAAAAGACUUUUCCAAUUUAGUAAAAAAUUAUAACCAAAACAAUAAUAAUGGAUUGUCUGUAAAUUACAAAUCGAAUGACGUUAGAGAUAGGAAAACAAAAAACAAUACAAAUAAAAAUAUGAACAGUAGUGACUAUACUAGUAGUGAUUAUAAUAAUGAUAAUGAAAAUAGAAAAGAUAAAUCAAAUAAACAUAUGAAUAAGCUAGUAAAAUUACCAACAGGCUAUCCAAGAUAUAGUAAUACAACUAAUAGUAUUAGAAAAGACAUAAAUGAUAGAGAGUACAUAAAAAAUAGUUUGUUAAAUAAUGGUCCUAUAAAUGAUGCUGAUAUAAAUGUAUCUAAAAGUCAUACAGUUAGUACAAAUAGUAGUUUUUCAGGAAAUCAGGCUAUUAAUGAAAAUUUAGUUUUUAAGGAUUUACAAGGAUUUGAUAUAAAAAUAAGUGAAAUUGAAUUAACAUAUCCAAAAAAAGAUGCACGUAUUAUAUGUGUUGUAAGAUAUGACAACGAAAGUGUUAUAUCAGCAUUACAAAAUAAUAAAAGAAUAACAAAAAUAAAAAAUGUUGAAAAAUCAACCAAAUCAGAGCAUUUACAUUGUGAUGUAGAUAGUACUAUUCAUUUAGAUUCAUUACCAGAAAAAAAUACAGGUGUCGUUCCAAGUUUUAUGAUAGAUAUACAUGAUGUAAGUGAUAAAAUUUUAAUUGGAACAUCUAAAUGUUCAUUUAUUAGUGCACGGACACUACAGAGUAAUGCGUCUUGGUAUAUAUAUUCAAGAACAAAUAAAAAUAAUGUUGAAAAAAUUGGAAAAAUAUAUGUUACUGUGUUACCAUAUCCACGUGAUGUUAAGCUACCUGUACAUUUAUUUAAAAAUGUUGUGCUAUCGAAAUUAUCAUCUUCAGAUGAUUCUCAUAGUCCGCUUAAGUCUUCUUAUUGGAUGAGUAAAAAUAAAACUUCAUUAAAACAUACUGAUAUGCAAAAAGAAAAACACAUGUCAAGCAAAAAUGAAAUUUCUCCAAGUAAACAAAAUGGUACUGAAAAAAAAGCAUUGAAUUUUAAAACUCAGGGAAAAGUAGCAAAUGGUAGUAUUAAAGCAGGUACCGUAGUAAAAAUAGGAAAGAAGGUUACAUUCAAACAGUAUGUGUCUAAGAAUGAAGUACAUGGUAAGGAGUAGUGCGUGUAUAUGUGUGGAAGUGCGUGUGUACAUUCGUAUGUUCAUGCAUAACCAGAUGAAAAAAAAAAAAAAAAAAAAGAAUAACAUAUCAGUUUAUAUACA